RNAcentral lists this long non-coding RNA (227 nucleotides) under Setaria italica (foxtail millet). Its description in RNAcentral is "long non-coding RNA (SITA_LNC001236)". The record is from RNAcentral. Lineage: Eukaryota; Viridiplantae; Streptophyta; Magnoliopsida; Poales; Poaceae.
AGACAUAUCCGAUAACGAUGUGGAGGCGUUGUUGGGUAAGUUAUUCAGGAACUAUCAAGGGGUACCAGUACUCCCGGAAGUCCUUCGUCAGUUUGAUGGUUGGUAUGGACCAACAGAGGUAUUUUCUUCUUUCCUUUGCUUACUUUGGGUAGUUGAAGGUGUAGUAAUACUUUCCGAGUAACAAUUAUUGUCUUGUGGUUGUAGUCCUAGGUGCUUCUUGGUUUGUU